Molecule: ribosomal RNA, 428 nt
Filed under: uncultured bacterium
Lineage: Bacteria
Description: bacterial SSU rRNA
Rfam family: Bacterial small subunit ribosomal RNA
Source: RNAcentral
UAGGGAAACUUCCGCAAUGGACGAAAGUCUGACGGAGCAACGCCGCGUGAGUGAAGAAGGAUUUCGGUUCGUAAAACUCUGUUGUUAGGGAAGAAUGAUUGUAUAGUAACUAUAUACAGUAGAGACGGUACCUAACCAGAAAGCCACGGCUAACUACGUGCCAGCAGCCGCGGUAAUACGUAGGUGGCAAGCGUUGUCCGGAAUUAUUGGGCGUAAAGCGCGCGCAGGUGGUUUAAUAAGUCUGAUGUGAAAGCCCACGGCUCAACCGUGGAGGGUCAUUGGAAACUGUUAAACUUGAGUGCAGGAGAGAAAAGUGGAAUUCCUAGUGUAGCGGUGAAAUGCGUAGAGAUUAGGAGGAACACCAGUGGCGAAGGCGGCUUUUUGGCCUGUAACUGACACUGAGGCGCGAAAGCGUGGGGAGCAAACAG